UACGUAGGGACCGAGCGUUGUCCGGAAUCAUUGGGCGUAAAGAGCGUGUGAGGCCGCUAUUACGUCGCGUGAAAUCUUGCGGCUCAACCGCAAGCGGUCGUGGGAAACUGGGUGGCUAGAGUGCGGGAGAGGAGAGUGGAAUUCCUGGUGUAGCGGUGGAAUGCGCAGAUAUCAGGAAGAACACCCGUGGCGAAGGCGGCUCUCUGGAACGCAACUGGACGCUGAGACGCGAAAAGCGUGGGGGAGCAAAACAGGG
Molecule: ribosomal RNA, 256 nt
Filed under: uncultured bacterium
Lineage: Bacteria
Description: partial 16S ribosomal RNA
Rfam family: Bacterial small subunit ribosomal RNA
Source: RNAcentral